Molecule: long non-coding RNA, 1407 nt
Organism: Salvia splendens (bonfire salvia)
Lineage: Eukaryota; Viridiplantae; Streptophyta; Magnoliopsida; Lamiales; Lamiaceae
Exons: 2
Source: RefSeq, a predicted model, not a curated record
UCAAACCAAUUGACCUUCCAUUCAAUUACUCUCUCUCUCUCUCUCUCUCUCUCUCACACACACACACACACAAUACCCCUCUCAUCCCUCAACCCACGAUCAAAACCCUUUCUCUCUCAUUUCCAUCAUUUUCUAAACCAUAGCUGCUUCAAAAUAGGAGAAACUCCACUGGAAGAGUCGAUUUCUGUCGGCUUAACACUCUUCGGUCGAUGCAACAACGUUUUAAUCAAUGGAAGAUUUGCAAUCGACAACAAGAACAAGAAUGACGAAAAGAAGCAUACCUUUUAAAAGCCAACCCACCCAGACUGCAGGUGAGCAAUCUCUUGCAUUUGCCUUUUGUAUUCAUAAAGUAGUUGACAUUAUUGUAGGCAGUGGUGUACAUUAUGUUUUUGUUUUAAGCUACAUCAAUUGGUUUCAUAGAAUGCUUGUAAUUGAGUGAAAGUUAUGUUCUUCUAUGCAUGAUUUGCUUGCUUUUGUACAUUAUUUAUCAAGUAGUCUGCAUUACAUUAUAUUAAUGCGAUAUAUUAUUGAUACCGUCGAUUAUAAUCGUGUACUGAUGUCGUAUUUUGGACAGCAGCGAAGCAGCCUAGUAUGAAUGUAUGAUCUGUUACAUUUUUUCAUUUUUUCUGUACAUUAUUUAUUCAAAAUUUUACAUUAUUCGAUACGGAUAUGCUACAUUAUUGUGUUACAGUUUCUGCUCUAUAUGGUCCUCUGUAUCUUCUUUCAAAAUUCAUAUGCACAUUAUUUAACCCAAUAUUUACAUUACUUCAUACUGAUGUGCUACAUUAUUUUGUGUUAUAGUAUGACCUGUUAUAUUUUUUCAUUUUUUCUGUACAUUAUUUAAUCAAAAUUUUACAUUAUUUGAUACCGAUGUGCUACAUUAUUGUGUGUUAUAUAAGUGUGUGUUAUAUUAAUACACUUUUUUACAUACAUUACCGGCUUCAUAAGGUUACAGGUAAAUAUGCAUACAUUAGGCCUUUAGACAUUGUUUGAUCAAAUAUUUACAUUAUUUCGCACUGAUAUGUUACAUUGUUAUUAUUUGUUAUUUUGUAGUAAUGUAUAUCCGAAUUAACCAGUAAUGUAACAUUUUGACUAAUCAAUGUAUUCGUUUAUGAAUAUGUACAAAGAGGUCCAGAGUCGAAUUCGAUGACAGUGAGGAGUCCGCUUGUAUUAUAUUUCUUUUUUUUUUUGUUUGUUGUAAUAUGAUGGAAAUAGAAAACAAUGAAUGUUUUAGAAACUGUUAAACAUAGAUUUUGGGGAUGUAAAAGAGUAGUGAUGUGCAUUCAUAUCUAAAUAGUGUAACAUUAAUCUAUCAAAUAAUGUACAUUUACGAUCUAUUGAUGUGGACAAAGAGGAUCCCAACAUUACAUUACUUGAUGUAAAACAUAUACAUUAUUAUUGAACAUA